RNAcentral lists this ribosomal RNA (478 nucleotides) under Flavobacterium sp. SC19. RNAcentral describes it as "bacterial SSU rRNA". It matches the Rfam family "Bacterial small subunit ribosomal RNA", at positions 27 to 504 of the family's 1533-position model. The record is from RNAcentral. Lineage: Bacteria; Pseudomonadati; Bacteroidota; Flavobacteriia; Flavobacteriales; Flavobacteriaceae.
GGAUGAACGCUAGCGGCAGGCCUAACACAUGCAAGUCGAGGGGUAGAGUAAGCUUGCUUACUUGAGACCGGCGCACGGGUGCGUAACGCGUAUGCAAUCUACCUUAUACUAAGGGAUAGCCCAGAGAAAUUUGGAUUAAUACCUUAUAGUUAAUUUASUUGGCAUCAAUUGAAUUAUAAAGAUUUAUUGGUAUAAGAUGAGCAUGCGUCCCAUUAGUUAGUUGGUAAGGUAACGGCUUACCAAGACGAUGAUGGGUAGGGGUCCUGAGAGGGAGAUCCCCCACACUGGUACUGAGACACGGACCAGACUCCUACGGGAGGCAGCAGUGAGGAAUAUUGGACAAUGGGCGCAAGCCUGAUCCAGCCAUGCCGCGUGCAGGAUGAAGCAUCUAUGGUGUGUAAACUGCUUUUGUACGGGAAGAAAAAACRYUACGAGUARUGUACUGACGGUACCGUAAGAAUAAGGAUCGGCUAACUCC